UAGGGAAUCUUCCGCAAUGGACGCAAGUCUGACGGAGCAACGCCGCGUGAGUGAAGAAGGAUUUCGGUUCGUAAAACUCUGUUGUUAGAGAAGAACAGCGCAUAGAGUAACUGUUAUGCGUGUGACGGUAUCUAACCAGAAAGCCACGGCUAACUACGUGCCAGCAGCCGCGGUAAUACGUAGGUGGCAAGCGUUGUCCGGAUUUAUUGGGCGUAAAGCGAGCGCAGGCGGUCAAUUAAGUCUGAUGUGAAAGCCCCCGGCUCAACCGGGGAGGGUCAUUGGAAACUGGUUGACUUGAGUGCAGAAGAGGAGAGUGGAAUUCCAUGUGUAGCGGUGAAAUGCGUAGAUAUAUGGAGGAACACCAGUGGCGAGGGCGACUCUCUGGUCUGUAACUGACGCUGAGGCUCGAAAGCGUGGGUAGCAAACAGG
RNAcentral lists this ribosomal RNA (429 nucleotides) under Bacteroidota bacterium. RNAcentral's name for it is "Bacteroidetes bacterium partial 16S ribosomal RNA". It matches the Rfam family "Bacterial small subunit ribosomal RNA", at positions 355 to 776 of the family's 1533-position model. Lineage: Bacteria; Pseudomonadati; Bacteroidota. The record is from RNAcentral.